CCUACGGGUGGCAGCAGUGGGGAAUAUUGCACAAUGGGCGCAAGCCUGAUGCAGCCAUGCCGCGUGUGUGAAGAAGGCCUUCGGGUUGUAAAGCACUUUCAGCGGGGAGGAAGGCGGUGAGGUUAAUAACCUCAUCGAUUGACGUUACCCGCAGAAGAAGCACCGGCUAACUCCGUGCCAGCAGCCGCGGUAAUACGGAGGGUGCAAGCGUUAAUCGGAAUUACUGGGCGUAAAGCGCACGCAGGCGGUCUGUCAAGUCGGAUGUGAAAUCCCCGGGCUCAACCUGGAAACUGCAUUCGAAACUGGCAGGCUAGAGUCUUGUAGAGGGGGGUAGAAUUCCAGGUGUAGCGGUGAAAUGCGUAGAGAUCUGGAGGAAUACCGGUGGCGAAGGCGGCCCCCUGGACAAAGACUGACGCUCAGGUGCGAAAGCGUGGGGAGCAAACAGGAUUAGAUACCCCGGUAGUC
Molecule: ribosomal RNA, 465 nt
Filed under: uncultured Klebsiella sp.
Lineage: Bacteria; Pseudomonadati; Pseudomonadota; Gammaproteobacteria; Enterobacterales; Enterobacteriaceae
Description: bacterial SSU rRNA
Rfam family: Bacterial small subunit ribosomal RNA
Source: RNAcentral